This 319-nucleotide ribosomal RNA is filed under the name uncultured Pseudomonadota bacterium. RNAcentral's name for it is "bacterial SSU rRNA". It matches the Rfam family "Bacterial small subunit ribosomal RNA", at positions 30 to 351 of the family's 1533-position model. The record is from RNAcentral. Lineage: Bacteria; Pseudomonadati; Pseudomonadota.
AUUGAACGCUGGCGGUAUGCUUAACACAUGCAAGUCGAACGGUAACAGGCCUUCGGGCGCUGACGAGUGGCGGACGGGUGAGUAACGCGUAGGAAUCUGCCUCAUAGUGGGGGACAACGUGGGGAAACUCACGCUAAUACCGCAUACGCCCUACGGGGGAAAGCGGGGGAUCGUAAGACCUCGCGCUAUUGGAGCGGCCGAUGUCCGAUUAGCUAGUUGGUGGGGUAAAAGCCUACCAAGGCGACGAUCGGUAGCUGGUCUGAGAGGAUGAUCAGCCACACUGGGACUGAGACACGGCCCAGACACCUACGGGUGGCAG